UCCGGUUUGUCACCGGCAGUCUCGCAUGAGUCCCCAACUAAAUGCUGGCAACUGCGGAUGGGGGUUGCGCUCGUUGCGGGACUUAACCCAACAUCUCACGACACGGGCUGACGACAGCCAUGCAGCACCUGUGUGCAGGUCCCCGAAGGGAAGGAAUCCAUCUCUGGAAGCCGUCCUGCCAUGUCAAGAGCUGGUAAGGUUCUUCGCGUUGCGUCGAAUUAAACCACAUGCUCCACCGCUUGUGCGGGCCCCCGUCAAUUCCUUUGAGUUUUAGCCUUGCGGCCGUACUCCCCAGGCGGGGUGCUUAAUGCGUUAGCUUCGGCACGGACGGGGUCGAUAUCCGCCCACACCUAGCACCCAACGUUUACGGCUAGGACUAC
Molecule: unclassified non-coding RNA, 380 nt
Filed under: uncultured bacterium
Lineage: Bacteria
Description: contains 16S-23S intergenic spacer region
Source: RNAcentral